CUUGAGUUUUCACCAGAGCCUGUCGCAGGGUUGCCAGGAAGCCAGUGGCCGACUUCAGAGUCACACAGUGUUACCCUUGGCCCUACGUGGUUAUCACCAAAAUGAGGUUUCAAACACACUGUCCUGUUGGGGUUUCUUAUGAGGAAUUGGCUCACAUGAUUAUGGAAGCUGAGAAGUCCUAAGAUCUGCUGUCUGAAAGCUGGAGACCCAGGAAAGCCAGUGGUGAAGUCCAAUCUGAAUCCCCGAAGGCCUGAGGGCCAGAGGAGUGCAUGGUGUAAACCCCUGUCCAAGGGCAGGAGGAGACAGAUGUUCCAGCUCAAGCAGUCAGCUUCCAGGUGAUGCUGUUGAGCUUCAGACCACACUUUGAGUAGCAAGGCUCUAGAACAGCGAUUCUCAAACAGAUGAUUUUGGCCUCCAGGGGACACUUGGCAACGUUGUGGAGACAUCUUUGACUGUUACAGCUGGGGUGGUGCUACUGCGUGGAGACCAGAGACGCUGCUAAACGUCUUACUAUGCACAGGACGGCCCUCAGAACAAAGAAGGAUCUUGCCCCAAAGGUCCACAGUGCCAAGGCUGAGAACCCUGCUCUAGAACGAUCUUAAAAUUUGCCGUGCGCAUCUGUUCUCCGGGCCCUAUGGAUCUGGCCAGAAGGAUCUUGAAGGGGAUGGGCCUGGCGGUGCUCCUGGGCAUCCCCGCUGCUUGCCUUUGGGGAUUGGGCAGCUCCUGCUCCUGUAGGACUGCGCGUGCGUCUAGGACUCAGGUCCUAGAAGGAUGAACUUGGUGUGCAAACUGGAGGGCUCAGGUACGAAGUCUCAGGUAUAUCUAACCAAAGCUUUUACACAUGCAAGUGUUUAAUUUCCAUUAUACCUGGGACCCCAUUAUUCCUGAUAGG
Eubalaena glacialis (North Atlantic right whale) is the source of this 892-nucleotide long non-coding RNA. RefSeq lists it as uncharacterized. The record is from RefSeq and is a predicted model, not a curated record. Lineage: Eukaryota; Metazoa; Chordata; Mammalia; Artiodactyla; Balaenidae. The transcript is spliced from 5 exons.